AUGGCUCAAAGCCUCCAGCUGCUCUGUGGGAGGGAGAAAAGACUGUCUAUUCCCAUAAGAUUACAGUCUCGGAAAUGCCAAGGAUAAGUUUUGCUCAGCCCUACAGGAUCUCUAUGGGUUGGAAUAAACUCUGGGUUGACUUGGCCUGGCUAGGUAUUGGCUGAAAGCGAGGAGGAUGUCAUUCUUCCUAGAGUGUGAAUAGUGACCUGCAUCUCAUCCUCAGCAGAAUCAAAUACAUUUAAUUAUUCUAUGUUGCAGUUGGAGGAAAUGAAACCUCUUAUCGAAGAGCCCCAGAAGUUAGUCAAAAAAAACUGUGACCUUUUUAACAAAAUUGGAGAGUAUGGCUUCCAAAAUGCGCUCAUAAUUCGCUACACCCAGAAAGUGCCACAAGUGUCAACGCCAACUCUCGUGGAGACCUCAAGAGGCCUAGGAAGAGUGGGCACCAAGUGCUGCUCACUUCCUGAGGCACA
Molecule: long non-coding RNA, 470 nt
Organism: Echinops telfairi (small Madagascar hedgehog)
Lineage: Eukaryota; Metazoa; Chordata; Mammalia; Afrosoricida; Tenrecidae
Exons: 2
Source: RefSeq, a predicted model, not a curated record